GUAGCUGGUCUGAGAGGACGAUCAGCCACACUGGAACUGAGACACGGUCCAGACUCCUACGGGAGGCAGCAGUAGGGAAUCUUGCGCAAUGGGCGAAAGCCUGACGCAGCAAUGCCGCGUGCGGGACGAAGGCCCUAGGGUCGUAAACCGCUUUCAGUAGGGACGAAAAUGACGGUACCUGCAGAAGAAGCUCCGGCCAACUACGUGCCAGCAGCCGCGGUGAUACGUAGGGAGCAAGCGUUGUCCGGAAUUACUGGGCGUAAAGGGCUCGUAGGUGGUUGAGUAAGUCAGAUGUGAAAUCUCAGGGCCCAACCCUGAGCGUGCAUUUGAUACUGCUCUGACUAGAGUCCGGUAGGGGAGUGCGGAAUUCCUGGUGUAGCGGUGAAAUGCGCAGAUAUCAGGAGGAACACCGACAGCGAAGGCAGCACUCUGGGCCGGUACUGACACUGAGGAGCGAAAGCAUGGGUAGCAAACAGGAUUAGAUACCCUGGUAGUCCAUGCCGCAAACGUUGGGCACUAGGUGUGGGGAGAACUCAACUCUCUCCGCGCCGUAGCUAACGCAUUAAGUGCCCCGCCUGGGGAGUACGGCCGCAAGGCUAAAACUCAAAGGAAUUGACGGGGGCCCGCACAAGCGGCGGAGCAUGUUGCUUAAUUCGAGGCAACGCGAAGAACCUUAUCUGGGUUGAACUACGUGGGAAAAGCCGCAGAGAUGCGGUGUCCUUCGGGGUCCACGAUAGGUGGUGCAUGGCUGUCGUCAGCUCGUGUCGUGAGACGUUGGGUUAAGUCCCGCAACGAGCGCAACCCUUGUCCUAUGUUGCCAGCGGGUAAAGCCGGGGACUCGUAGGAGACUGCCGGGGUCAACUCGGAGGAAGGUGGGGACGACGUCAAGUCAUCAUGCCCCUUAUGUCCAGGGCUGCAAACAUGCUACAAUGGCCGGUACAACGGGCAGCUAAACCGCGAGGUCAAGCGAAUCCCACAAAGCCGGUCUCAGUUCGGAUUGAAGUCUGCAACUCGACUUCAUGAAGCUGGAGUCGCUAGUAAUCCCGGAUCAGCAACGCCGGGGUGAAUACGUUCCCGGGCCUUGUACACACCGCCCGUCACACGCCGAAAGUCGGCAACACCCGAAGUCAGUGGCCCAACCCCUAGGGGAGGGAGCUGCCGAAGGUGGGGCUGGCGAUUGGGGUGAAGUCGUAACAAGGUAACCGUA
Molecule: ribosomal RNA, 1207 nt
Filed under: uncultured bacterium
Lineage: Bacteria
Description: bacterial SSU rRNA
Rfam family: Bacterial small subunit ribosomal RNA
Source: RNAcentral